Molecule: ribosomal RNA, 452 nt
Filed under: Aphelinus chaonia
Lineage: Eukaryota; Metazoa; Arthropoda; Insecta; Hymenoptera; Aphelinidae
Description: partial 16S ribosomal RNA
Source: RNAcentral
UGAUCUGCUCAAUGAUUAAAUUAAAUAGCUGCAGUAUUUUAACUGUACAAAGGUAGCAUAAUCAUUUGUCUUUUUAUUAAAGUCUGGAAUGAAUGAUUUAAUGAAAAAAUUUCUGUCUCAAUUUAAUUAAUAAAAUUUUAUUUUAAGUUAAAAUUCUUAAAAUUUAUUUAAAGACGAGAAGACCCUAUAGAAUUUUAUAAAAUUUUUUAUUAUUAUUUUAUAAAUUAAUAAAAUUAAAUAAAAUUUUAUUUUAUUGGGGUAAUAAAAAAAUUUAAUUAAAUUUUUUUAAAAAAUUUCAUAUAUUUAUGUUUAAAAUUUAUCCAAAAUUUUUGAAAUAAAAAUUAAUUACCUUAGGGAUAACAGCGUUAUUUUUUUUGAAAGUUCUUAUUGAUAAAAAAGUUUGCGACCUCGAUGUUGAAUUAAGAUAAAAUUUUAAUGUAGAAAUUAAAAAU